CGGUUCGCUGCCGACAACGUCGCGAGAAGUCCACUGAACCUUAUCAUUUAGAGGAAGGAGAAGUCGUAACAAGGUUUCCGUAGGUGAACCUGCGGAAGGAUCAUUGUCGAAUUCGAAGGGGAGAACGACCCGCGAACCGUCUUUGCGUAGCGAACCAAGCUCGCGUGCACAAAAGGUGGCGCGUCUAGCGACGCGUCGGUGCGGGCCUUCUCGAAAGGGCCGCGCCGCGCCGUAAUGUAUCAACGUCAGCACGGAUCGUGCCAAGUACUGCAUUGGGGAGAAUCGUCGUCCUCCCCCUCUUUGGGGGGCGGGGGACAUGCGCGAUCUCUGCUCUUAGUCUUAAUGACUCUCGGCAACGGAUAUCUCGGCUCUUGCAUCGAUGAAGAACGCAGCGAAAUGCGGUACUUGGUGUGAAUUGCAGAAUCCCGCGAACCAUCAACUCUUUGAACGCAAGUUGCGCCCGAAGCCAUACGGCCGACGGCACGCCUGCCUGGGUGUCGUUAAUCCCCUUGCCGCCGGCGCCCGCACGAGCAUCGUCGCGGAUAUUUCCGGGCGCAGAAUAUGGUCUCCCGCCGGGUCGGCGUGCGCGGCACGUCGUCGGGCGGUUGGUCGAAAAUCGAGCAUUGCGACGUCCGGUUCCACGGCGUUCGGUGGAUCGAACGCGAUUGGCAGCGCCGUGGUCCCGUCUUGCCACGGGCUCUGGACUUGGACGAUUUGUGAAUGCGAUCCCAGGUCAGGUGUGGCUACCCGCUGAGUUUAAGCAUAUCAAUAAGC
Molecule: ribosomal RNA, 774 nt
Filed under: Monochaetum floribundum
Lineage: Eukaryota; Viridiplantae; Streptophyta; Magnoliopsida; Myrtales; Melastomataceae
Description: eukaryotic LSU rRNA
Rfam family: 5.8S ribosomal RNA (bases 345-500)
Source: RNAcentral